UGGGGAAUAUUGGACAAUGGGCGAAAGCCUGAUCCAGCCAUGCCGCGUGAGUGAUGAAGGCCCUAGGGUUGUAAAGCUCUUUUGUGCGGGAAGAUAAUGACGGUACCGCAAGAAUAAGCCCCGGCUAACUUCGUGCCAGCAGCCGCGGUAAUACGAAGGGGGCUAGCGUUGCUCGGAAUCACUGGGCGUAAAGGGUGCGUAGGCGGGUUUCUAAGUCAGAGGUGAAAGCCUGGAGCUCAACUCCAGAACUGCCUUUGAUACUGGAAGUCUUGAGUUCGGGAGAGGUGAGUGGAACUGCGAGUGUAGAGGUGAAAUUCGUAGGUAUUCGCAAGAACACCAGUGGCGAAGGCGGCUCACUGGCCCGAUACUGACGCUGAGGCACGAAAGCGUGGGGAGCAAACA
Molecule: ribosomal RNA, 402 nt
Filed under: uncultured bacterium
Lineage: Bacteria
Description: bacterial SSU rRNA
Rfam family: Bacterial small subunit ribosomal RNA
Source: RNAcentral